This is a long non-coding RNA of Ctenopharyngodon idella (grass carp), 1385 nucleotides long. RefSeq lists it as uncharacterized. NCBI's taxonomy places the organism in Eukaryota, Metazoa, Chordata, Actinopteri, Cypriniformes, Xenocyprididae. The transcript is spliced from 7 exons. The record is from RefSeq and is a predicted model, not a curated record.
UGUGUGUGUGGUAAUACCAAAGCAUUUGAGCGGAUAAUUAUGACAGGAUAAUCAAUUCUCUGAGGGUGUGUUCACACAUGUUCGGUGCGCUUGGUUUUUUUCGUCCGGACCAAACGAACCAAGCGAACCGAACACACCCUCAGAGAACGACAGCGGGCUGUAUCAAGGGACCUGUCCCAGAAUUUUUUCUCCCACAAUUUCCAGUCAGUCUCACUUUCACUUUACAUCAGCUGUUCUCUGAGAAGCCUCAACUCCUUUUACCCCACUAGCGACGGUCCUGCUCUUGAUAUAUGCCUGUAUUGCUGGAUGAGAGAUGGCGAAUGUUUUACAGAUGCUUUUUGUUGUGUUCUGUCCUUUAUUGGUUCUGUCUGAGAGCGGAGAUGAUGAUUGGUCUGAGAAAGAAGUGACCUGCACAUCCAUAUUGACCAUCAAACAGAGCAACCUCACCUGUUCGCUAAAUGAUGAACCCAACGAGGAGGUCAUAUUCGCAAAACUCUGUCAAAAUCCCAGCUCCUAAAAUAAAGCUUGCCACUUACAUGGAAGACACAGAAGAAGUUUUCAUAUGGUUUGAACACAGACAUGACUAUGUUUUCAACCCUACCUUUCAAGUGGAAAUCUGGGGGGACAAACUAGCAAACAAGUCCAUCAGCCUUAUUAUUACAUACAGGAACUUAAGUAUCAGCAGGGACAGACUCGGUAGAGAUGGUGUUUACUAUACACGUGUUAGAGCAAAACCUAUGGAUUUCUUUGAAGGCGACUGGAGUGAGUGGAGCUCAAUUGCCAGUUUCACUAUAAAAACAAACAGAACUGAGCUUCUAAAGAUCACGUCACGAUCAUCACUUCACAUCACCAUCGGCUUCUCCGUCUUUCUGCUGCUCAUCAUCAUUUUGGGGGUCUUGCUAUGGAGAAUGCAUAUAAAAGGCUACUUCACAGCAAAACAUCCCGCUGCCGAAAGCAACUCUCGCACGAAUCCACAGGGCGAAAGAGAAACACACAUCAUGCUCACUGCACCUGCCCAGUCCCUUGAUGCCUGCGGACCCUCGUGCCCUCAGACGCCCUGAACAAUCUGCCAGCUGCUUCUUGGCGUUGAUCGCCAUCUCUCAUGUACCUGCCAUCAUACAGCUAUCUGAUCCGAAGGUGACAAGAGUGAUUUUUCAGCUUAUUUGAGUGGGUGCACUCUUAAAAAUAAAGUUUCUGUAUUGGCAUUGAUACCAAUAACCUUUAACCUUUCCAUUGCACAAAAGGUUCUUUAUAGUGGAAAAAGGUUUUUUUAGACUUAAAAAAAAAAAAAAAAAAAACGUUCUUCAAACUAAGGAAAAAAUAAUGUUUUUUUAUGAACUGUACCCUUGUUGUUUUGGUGAAAUAAAAAUGGUUCUUCUAUUGCA